UGGGGAAUAUUGCACAAUGGGCGCAAGCCUGAUGCAGCCAUGCCGCGUGUGUGAAGAAGGCCUUCGGGUUGUAAAGCACUUUCAGCGAGGAGGAAGGGCAGUGUGUUAAUAGCACAUUGCAUUGACGUUACUCGCAGAAGAAGCACCGGCUAACUCCGUGCCAGCAGCCGCGGUAAUACGGAGGGUGCAAGCGUUAAUCGGAAUUACUGGGCGUAAAGCGCACGCAGGCGGUAUGUUAAGUCAGAUGUGAAAUCCCCGCGCUUAACGUGGGAACUGCAUUUGAAACUGGCAAGCUAGAGUCUUGUAGAGGGGGGUAGAAUUCCAGGUGUAGCGGUGAAAUGCGUAGAGAUCUGGAGGAAUACCGGUGGCGAAGGCGGCCCCCUGGACAAAGACUGACGCUCAGGUGCGAAAGCGUGGGGAGCAAACA
This 427-nucleotide ribosomal RNA is filed under the name uncultured bacterium. Its description in RNAcentral is "partial 16S ribosomal RNA". It matches the Rfam family "Bacterial small subunit ribosomal RNA", at positions 355 to 774 of the family's 1533-position model. The record is from RNAcentral.